Molecule: ribosomal RNA, 1356 nt
Filed under: uncultured bacterium
Lineage: Bacteria
Description: bacterial SSU rRNA
Rfam family: Bacterial small subunit ribosomal RNA
Source: RNAcentral
CCUGGCUCAGGACGAACGCUGGCGGCGCGCCUAACACAUGCAAGUCGAACGAGAGAUGAGGAGCUUGCUCUUCAGAUCGAGUGGCGAACGGGUGAGUAACGCGUGAGGAACCUGCCUCAAAGAGGGGGACAACAGUUGGAAACGACUGCUAAUACCGCAUAAGCCCACGGCUCGGCAUCGAGCAGAGGGAAAAGGAGCAAUCCGCUUUGAGAUGGCCUCGCGUCCGAUUAGCUGGUUGGUGAGGUAACGGCCCACCAAGGCGACGAUCGGUAGCCGGACUGAGAGGUUGAACGGCCACAUUGGGACUGAGACACGGCCCAGACUCCUACGGGAGGCAGCAGUGGGGAAUAUUGCACAAUGGGGGAAACCCUGAUGCAGCGACGCCGCGUGGAGGAAGAAGGUCUUCGGAUUGUAAACUCCUGUUGUUGAGGAAGAUAAUGACGGUACUCAACAAGGAAGUGACGGCUAACUACGUGCCAGCAGCCGCGGUAAAACGUAGGUCACAAGCGUUGUCCGGAAUUACUGGGUGUAAAGGGAGCGCAGGCGGGAGAACAAGUUGGAAGUGAAAUCCAUGGGCUCAACCCAUGAACUGCUUUCAAAACUGUUUUUCUUGAGUAGUGCAGAGGUAGGCGGAAUUCCCGGUGUAGCGGUGGAAUGCGUAGAUAUCGGGAGGAACACCAGUGGCGAAGGCGGCCUACUGGGCACCAACUGACGCUGAGGCUCGAAAGUGUGGGUAGCAAACAGGAUUAGAUACCCUGGUAGUCCACACCGUAAACGAUGAUUACUAGGUGUUGGAGGAUUGACCCCUUCAGUGCCGCAGUUAACACAAUAAGUAAUCCACCUGGGGAGUACGACCGCAAGGUUGAAACUCAAAGGAAUUGACGGGGGCCCGCACAAGCAGUGGAGUAUGUGGUUUAAUUCGACGCAACGCGAAGAACCUUACCAAGUCUUGACAUCCCUUGACGAACAUAGAAAUAUGUUUUCUCUUCGGAGCAAGGAGACAGGUGGUGCAUGGUUGUCGUCAGCUCGUGUCGUGAGAUGUUGGGUUAAGUCCCGCAACGAGCGCAACCCUUAUGGUCAGUUACUACGCAAGAGGACUCUGGCCAGACUGCCGUUGACAAAACGGAGGAAGGUGGGGAUGACGUCAAAUCAUCAUGCCCUUUAUGACUUGGGCUACACACGUACUACAAUGGCGUUAAACAAAGAGAAGCAAGGCCGCGAGGUGGAGCAAAACUCAGAAACAACGUCCCAGUUCGGACUGCAGGCUGCAACUCGCCUGCACGAAGUCGGAAUUGCUAGUAAUCGUGGAUCAGCAUGCCACGGUGAAUACGUUCCCGGGCCUUGUACACACCGCCC